Molecule: ribosomal RNA, 252 nt
Filed under: uncultured bacterium
Lineage: Bacteria
Description: partial 16S ribosomal RNA
Rfam family: Bacterial small subunit ribosomal RNA
Source: RNAcentral
ACGUAGGGCGCGAGCGUUGUCCGGAUUUAUUGGGCGUAAAGAGCUCGUAGGCGGUUUGUCGCGUCGGGAGUGAAAACUCAGGGCUUAACCCUGAGCCUGCUUCCGAUACGGGCAGACUAGAGGUAUGCAGGGGAGAACGGAAUUCCUGGUGUAGCGGUGAAAUGCGCAGAUAUCAGGAGGAACACCGGUGGCGAAGGCGGUUCUCUGGGCAUUACCUGACGCUGAGGAGCGAAAGUGUGGGGAGCGAACAGG